Molecule: ribosomal RNA, 272 nt
Filed under: uncultured Alistipes sp.
Lineage: Bacteria; Pseudomonadati; Bacteroidota; Bacteroidia; Bacteroidales; Rikenellaceae
Description: partial 16S ribosomal RNA
Rfam family: Bacterial small subunit ribosomal RNA
Source: RNAcentral
UCAUCAAAGCUUGCUUUGAUGGAUGGCGACCGGCGCACGGGUGCGUAACGCGUAUGUAACCUACCUAUAACAGGGGCAUAACACUGAGAAAUUGGUACUAAUUCCCCAUAAUAUUCGGAGAGGCAUCUCUCCGGGUUGAAAACUCCGGUGGUUAUAGAUGGACAUGCGUUGUAUUAGCUAGUUGGCAGGGCAACGGCCUACCAAGGCGACGAUCAGUAGCCGGACUGAGAGGUUGACCGGCCACAUUGGGACUGAGAUACGGCCCAGACUCC